AGAACGAACGCUGGCGGCAGGCCUCAAACAUGCAAGUCUAGGGGGUGUAGCAAUACAUCACCGGCGGACGGGUGCGUAACGCGUGGGAAUAUACCUAUUGGUUCGGAACAACUGAGGGAAACUUCAGCUAAUACCGGAUACGUCCUAACGGAGAAAGAUUUAUCGCCAAUAGAUUAGCCCGCGUUCGAUUAGCUAGUUGGUGGGGUAACGGCCCACCAAGGCGACGAUCGAUAGCUGUUCUGAGAGGAAGAUCAGCCACACUGGGACUGAGACACGGCCCAGACUCCUACGGGAGGCAGCAGUUGGGAAUCUUGGACAAUGGGGGAAACCCUGAUCCAGCCAUGCCGCGUGAGUGAUGAAGGCCUUCGGGUUGUAAACUCCUUUUAGUGGGAACGAAAUUGACGGUACCCACAGAAAAGCCCCGGCUAACUACGUGCCAGCAGCCGC
This 447-nucleotide ribosomal RNA is filed under the name uncultured bacterium. Its description in RNAcentral is "SSU rRNA". It matches the Rfam family "Bacterial small subunit ribosomal RNA", at positions 26 to 518 of the family's 1533-position model. The record is from RNAcentral.